UCCCUUCCUGCUCCCCAUCUCUGAUCCUCUGAAAGAGUUCUCAUCUGUGACAAGCUCACUUAAAAAGUCACAAGUUAAAGUCAUUUUUCUUCACUGCUGGGCUACCCACACAUGGUGGUGGAGAAUGCCAGUUGGAAAGAUGGAUAGUUUGAGAGUCUGGGGAGUUGAAACUGGAGAGUAAGAAGGCAAAUGAAGAAACCAAACCCCAGAGGGGGUGAGUAACCUUCCUGAAAAUCACACAGGCAGAGUUAGUACUGGAUCUCAGCAAGUUUCACUCCACUAUAUUUUUUUUUUCUGGACAGCAGAUUACUAUAUUUAUCAAUGGGAGUUAACAAUUAUGCCCACCAGGGGGCAUCCAGCAUCCCUGAAUCUUUCACAAUACUCCAGAAAAGCCAGCCAUUGUGGGGUCCUGAAGCCUAAGUACUCAUGGAAUCUGGAAAUGGGUGCAGUGACCAUGUUCAUCAAAAUAAAAAUACUUGUUAAAAGUGUCUUUCUUGAUAUCAAAACUGU
Molecule: non-coding RNA, 510 nt
Organism: Phascolarctos cinereus (koala)
Lineage: Eukaryota; Metazoa; Chordata; Mammalia; Diprotodontia; Phascolarctidae
Source: RefSeq, a predicted model, not a curated record